This 218-nucleotide ribosomal RNA is filed under the name Campylobacter jejuni. Its description in RNAcentral is "partial 23S ribosomal RNA". It matches the Rfam family "Bacterial large subunit ribosomal RNA", at positions 2417 to 2634 of the family's 2925-position model. The record is from RNAcentral. Lineage: Bacteria; Pseudomonadati; Campylobacterota; Epsilonproteobacteria; Campylobacterales; Campylobacteraceae.
GAUCCGGUGGUUCUGUGUGGAAGGGCCAUCGCUCAAAGGAUAAAAGGUACCCCGGGGAUAACAGGCUGAUCUCCCCCAAGAGCUCACAUCGACGGGGAGGUUUGGCCCCUCGAUGUCGGCUCAUCGCAUCCUGGGGCUGGAGCAGGUCCCAAGGGUAUGGCUGUUCGCCAUUUAAAGCGGUACGCGAGCUGGGUUCAGAACGUCGUGAGACAGUUCGG